Long non-coding RNA from Gopherus evgoodei (Goodes thornscrub tortoise), 110 nucleotides. RefSeq lists it as uncharacterized. The record is from RefSeq and is a predicted model, not a curated record. NCBI's taxonomy places the organism in Eukaryota, Metazoa, Chordata, Testudines, Testudinidae. The transcript has 3 exons.
CCUAAUCAUUUUAGUUGCCCUUCCCUGAACCUUUUCUAGGGCCAGUAUAUCUUUUUUGAGCUGAGGAGAGCACAUCUGUACGUAGUAUUCAAGAUGCCGGCAUACCAUGG